RNAcentral lists this transfer RNA (69 nucleotides) under Ictidomys tridecemlineatus (thirteen-lined ground squirrel). RNAcentral describes it as "Spermophilus tridecemlineatus (thirteen-lined ground squirrel) tRNA". It matches the Rfam family "tRNA". Rfam says of the family: Transfer RNA (tRNA) molecules are approximately 80 nucleotides in length. Their secondary structure includes four short double-helical elements and three loops (D, anti-codon, and T loops). The record is from Rfam by way of RNAcentral. Lineage: Eukaryota; Metazoa; Chordata; Mammalia; Rodentia; Sciuridae.
GGGAUUGUGGCUCAGUGGUAGAGCACUUGCUUCGAAUGUGUGAGGUGCUGGGUUCGAUUCUCAGCACCA